Molecule: long non-coding RNA, 1861 nt
Filed under: Xyrichtys novacula (pearly razorfish)
Lineage: Eukaryota; Metazoa; Chordata; Actinopteri; Labriformes; Labridae
Source: RNAcentral
CAGAUGGAGAAGGGUGGGUGAGAAACGAAAGGAGGCACAUGCUUCUCUGUGAGCCUUGGUCCAAACAUUUAUUUCUGUUUGUACAGUGUAUAAAUUUGUCUUAUUCGAGUGAGUUUAACAUGUUGAUUUGUAUUAUUUUGAUCCACUGAGCAUUUUGUGGUCUAAAAGAGGUCUAAUAGACAUCUAAAUGUAGUCUAGACGACUGAUCUAAAAUCAGACUCCAACAGGUCUAAAAAUGAAAGUUUUCAGACGUCUAAAUUUAGACCCAGUUUAGACUAGCCAGUAUAUUGGCUAGUAUAUUGCUCAACUGCUAUCAUAAUUAUUUUGGUUUAGUACUUGGAGAUCAGUUAUGCAUCUCACAGUCGCUUUUUGAAAUAAAUACUUAUCAAAUAGCGGGUUAAAGUGCAACGUCUAAAUUCCGUCUACAGAUAUACAGAAUCUAGAUGGUUGAAAUUAGGUCUAAAAAUAAUUUGACGUCUAAUAGCCAUCUAUUGCUCAGUGGGUAGUUGAGUAUGGCAAAAAAUAAAUCCAUAGUUACCAGUUUUUAGUUUUUGCUGUGCAAGGCAUUUUAUGAGUUGAGCUGAUUUGAUUCAGAGAGCAUCCAAGGAUCUUGAAUGCUGCUGACCGACUCCACUUUGACACUUUUUGGAUCAAAACAAAAUCCGGUUAAUCCCAGUAAACACAGCUCUGCCUCUGUUGUGUAUGAACCCUGCUGUCUUUCAUCAUCCUUUGGAAAUGUCCAAAAAUGGAGAAGAGAGAGGGAAAACCACCACAGGGGGGGAAGGGUAUAGCAUCUGACAGGCUGUUCUAGUGAUGAGACCCAUGACUGACACAUUUACUGUGAAACAAGACAAGACUGAGAGUGUGUGAGAGAGAUAGACACAGGGAGUGAGAGGACAAGAUGGAAAUAAUGCCACACACACAUACACACACUUAAAAUGAAAAGCAGUGUGUCUCUUUCUGUCAGCUGAGUAUAGUCACGGGACUGAAGCUUCGUUUCACUGAUUCCAUUCCAUGCAGGCUGCCGAGGAAUCUUGCAGGGGCACAGGCAUCCCAGCAGGACUGCAAUCCCUUCAUGACGUCCUGACUGUAAGCUUUGCAACAGACACCCAUGUGUCACUUUUUUUUCCAUAAUGAGCUCUCAUUUGAUCUGCUGCCAUUGAAAUGGCUCUCUGUCUGAGGCGACUGUCACUGUUUAUCCGCAUUAUGAAGAUAACGCGGCCAUCUAGUGUGGUUUGGCGGUGUCAGUUGCGAGGAGUGUGGAGGAGAUUGUCAGAGAAGAGGAGAAUGAUUCAUUGUGUUGCUCUAUAAUUGAAUGAUCCGGCAUUUAUCGUGGGCAUGACGGUGAGAUCAUCUCCCGCUGUUAGACCUGCGGGCCCCCGAGGCCGGACAGGACACACACAUUUAAAGACCCGUACGUGUGGUUUUAAAUUCUGCAGCCUAUUAACUCUCAAUUUUCAAAUUCCUUUCUUUACGGCUGGCUAUUUUCUGGAGUAGACCACAAAUAUCAAGAUUGAUAUCCUAACUUACAGGAAGCCAUUGGUCUCUAUUUCACCACAAUGUGAAAGUCAUUAGCGGCAGCUUGAAAUUUCAUUGAAACGGUAAUCAAUCACACUAAAUAUUUUCUCAUGUGUAUGUUUGAGUAAAACUUACUUUGAUUUUUUUUGGCGGUGCAUUCAGGACAAACAGACAUUUGAGUGUUUAGGGACUGAAAAGCCGUCCAGAACCAAUUUUUAAAAACUUUUUUGUCUCCUUAUUUUUUAUUUUCUGUGUGUAUGGUUUUUGAACGCAGGAAAAUGUGCCAAAAAAUCUCAACUUUGCAAUCUAAUGUUUCAAAAAGUUGGGUUUAUUUCAACGUUUA